This is a long non-coding RNA of Agrilus planipennis (emerald ash borer), 321 nucleotides long. RefSeq lists it as uncharacterized. The transcript has 2 exons. NCBI's taxonomy places the organism in Eukaryota, Metazoa, Arthropoda, Insecta, Coleoptera, Buprestidae. The record is from RefSeq and is a predicted model, not a curated record.
AAUCAUCAAAGAAAUCUAUAUUUGCAAAUGAUCUGCAUUUUAUGAGACUGUUUUCCGUCUUGAUUCUCUAUAUAAACGAAAAAUUGUAAUACUGUUGUUAGAAUAUUUGAAAAUCCGUGUGCGAAAUUUCAUUGAUUCCUAAAAUUCUCAACGAUGAGAGCCAUCCUUAUGACUAUGCUGUCCCUUACGUUGUUGGUUAAAUUUCGAAAUCAGUGCUUCUAGGGUCUGCUCAAAACAUGUAUUUACAAAUCAUAUAUAGUUUGUACUUUAAUAAAAUAGUACUUCUAAUUUAUGUCUGAGAAAUAAAUCUUUUGCAUUUGA